GCCCGGGUGGUCUAGUUGGCUAUGAUUCUCGCUUAGGGAAAAACCUAAGCUCAAAUGCGAGAGGUCCCGCGUUCGAAUCGCGGCUCGGGCC
This is a non-coding RNA of Myotisia sp. PD_48, 91 nucleotides long. The record is from the annotation of a GenBank genome assembly. NCBI's taxonomy places the organism in Eukaryota, Fungi, Ascomycota, Eurotiomycetes, Onygenales.